RNAcentral lists this ribosomal RNA (492 nucleotides) under uncultured bacterium. RNAcentral's name for it is "partial 16S ribosomal RNA". It matches the Rfam family "Bacterial small subunit ribosomal RNA", at positions 29 to 507 of the family's 1533-position model. The record is from RNAcentral.
AGUGAACGCUGGCGGUAGGCCUAACACAUGCAAGUCGAACGGCAGCACAGUAAGAGCUUGCUCUUACGGGUGGCGAGUGGCGGACGGGUGAGGAAUACAUCGGAAUCUACUUUUUCGUGGGGGAUAACGUAGGGAAACUUACGCUAAUACCGCAUACGACCUACGGGUGAAAGCAGGGGAUCUUCGGACCUUGCGCGAUUGAAUGAGCCGAUGUCGGAUUAGCUAGUUGGCGGGGAAAAGGCCCACCAAGGCGACGAUCCGUAGCUGGUCUGAGAGGAUGAUCAGCCACACUGGAACUGAGACACGGUCCAGACUCCUACGGGAGGCAGCAGUGGGGAAUAUUGGACAAUGGGCGCAAGCCUGAUCCAGCCAUACCGCGUGGGUGAAGAAGGCAUUCGGGUUGUAAAGCCCUUUUGUUGGGAAAGAAAAGCAGCAGGUUAAUACCCCGCUGUUCUGACGGUACCCAAAGAAUAAGCACCGGCUAACUUCGUG